RNAcentral lists this transfer RNA (30 nucleotides) under Pinus pinea (stone pine). RNAcentral's name for it is "partial tRNA-His". The record is from RNAcentral. Lineage: Eukaryota; Viridiplantae; Streptophyta; Pinopsida; Pinales; Pinaceae. RNAcentral also lists the same sequence under 1 other name.
GGCGGACGUAGCCAAGUGGACCAAGGCAGU